AGAGUUUGAUCCUGGCUCAGAAUCAACGCUGCGGCAUGCCUAACACAUGCAAGUCGAGCGAGAAAGGGUAGCAAUACCUGAGUAAAGCGGCGCACGGGUGAGUAACACGUGGAUAACCUGCCUCGAAGUGGGGAAUAACACCGGGAAACCGGUGCUGAUACCGCAUAUACUGAUAAGAUCUGCGGAUUUUAUCAGGAAAGGAGCAAUUCGCUUUGAGAGGGGUCCGCGGCUGAUUAGCUAGUUGGUGAGGUAAUGGCCCACCAAGGCAACGAUCAGUAGCCGGUCUGAGAGGACGGUCGGCCACACUGGAACUGAGACACGGUCCAGACUCCUACGGGAGGCAGCAGUGGGAAAUUUUUCGCAAUGGGGGAAACCCUGACGAAGCAAUGCCACGUGAGUGAUGAAGUCUCUUGGGACGUAAAACCCUUUCGACGGGGACGAAGC
Molecule: ribosomal RNA, 444 nt
Filed under: uncultured Acidobacteriota bacterium
Lineage: Bacteria; Pseudomonadati; Acidobacteriota
Description: bacterial SSU rRNA
Rfam family: Bacterial small subunit ribosomal RNA
Source: RNAcentral